This is a long non-coding RNA of Acanthochromis polyacanthus (spiny chromis), 916 nucleotides long. RefSeq lists it as uncharacterized. The record is from RefSeq and is a predicted model, not a curated record. Lineage: Eukaryota; Metazoa; Chordata; Actinopteri; Pomacentridae. The transcript has 4 exons.
CUGAGCGGCGUGCCUACGGAGACGCUAAGCUAGCGGGGGCAAAGUUUCAGUGUUUUCCAUUGAUGUGUACGGCACGAAAAUUAAAACAAGAAGAAUGCCGGCUCAUUGUGCGGCAUACAGUUCCACACUACAUCGGACGAUCAAGACAAGGAAACUUGGAAUAACUUUCCACAGGGUGGGGAAAAUGUUGCUGUGGCCCAUUACAUGGUGAGCCAGAGAGGAACAGGCCGACAUUCCCACAUCACUGGACGCAGUGUACAUAAUCAAAGAAUUAAAAGAUUAUGGCGAGAUGUGUAUGGAAAUGUCCUUGAUUUGUUCCACACACUAUUUCUCAAUUUGGAAGUGGAAGGGUUUCUAAACCCUGAAAAUGAACUGGAGUUAUUCACUCUCCACUGGACCUACGUCCCACAGCUGCAGCAGCAUCUUCAGGCAUUCAAGGAAGCCUGGACUCACCAUAGUUUGAGGACAGAGAGGUUGCUGCUGAUUAUGGGAUAGACUGGACAGGACCUCACACCCCAUACCCAGAAGGCAUCACUGUACCUGAUGCACAACUACCCCAACAGCUUAUACAGGCUGAAGUUACAUCAUUGCCUGAUCCGGCCGUCCCUUUUUCUGCUGCACUACGGGCAUACAUGGAUACAGUGUAUAUUCUUAAGGACAUUUUUCAACAAACCUAGACAUAUCACAACUCACCUUAACAGAAUCAGAAAGAAACGAACAAGACUCAAAAGAAUGCUGCAAAUUUUUGGUGCAUAAUUUUAUGACCAGUUGUGAAUUUCAAAUAAAUGCCUUUGAAAACCACAAUGUGCAAAGACACAGCAAAGGGAUAUAAAACUGCUUUUAUUGCAUGCUGAAUAGUUUGACAGCUUUUAAAAGCAUUAGAACAAUGUGCCAAUAAAAAGAUUUUUUAAUAGAA